GCACAAGCGGUGGAGCAUGUGGUUUAAUUCGACGCAACGCGAAGAACCUUACCUGGGCUCGAAAUGUACAGGAAUCCGGUAGAAAUAUCGGCGUCCCGCAAGGGACCUGUAUAUAGGUGCUGCAUGGCUGUCGUCAGCUCGUGUCGUGAGAUGUUGGGUUAAGUCCCGCAACGAGCGCAACCCUUACCUCCAGUUGCUACCAUUUAGUUGAGCACUCUGGCGGAACCGCCUCGGAUAACGGGGAGGAAGGUGGGGAUGACGUCAAGUCCUCAUGGCCUUUAUGUCCAGGGCUACACACGUGCUACAAUGGUCGGUACAAACCGUCGCAAACCCGUGAGGGGGAGCUAAUCGGAAAAAGCCGACCUCAGUUCGGAUCGUAGUCUGCAACUCGACUACGUGAAGCUGGAAUCGCUAGUAAUCGCGGAUCAGAAUGCCGCGGUGAAUACGUUCCCGGGC
RNAcentral lists this ribosomal RNA (456 nucleotides) under uncultured bacterium. Its description in RNAcentral is "bacterial SSU rRNA". It matches the Rfam family "Bacterial small subunit ribosomal RNA", at positions 923 to 1379 of the family's 1533-position model. The record is from RNAcentral.